CAGAACUCAUGAGCUUGCUUCAGGCUCACAAACCUAACGGGCAGAACAUCCUUCAAGAGGGUUACAGUUUGCUGGAUGCUCUGAGAAGAAUGCCCAGUCCCUCACCAGCAGAUAACUUUUCUGAACUUUUUUCUACGUCAUCAUCAGGUCUCUUUGACACCAUUCUAAAAGGGAAAUGCUGAUAAGGCUCAUUAUCUGCAUCUCAUUGUCCAUGUGCUGCAACUGUUGCUGAAGAAUAGACAGAGAACAGCCAGCAACAGUCUUCAACUGUAUUAUAGUUUGAACUGACCAUUGAAAAUAUCUUCUCAGUACCAAGAAUUAAGGAGCAAACUAACAAAUGGGGAAAGCCCUCAAGCCAAGUUUCAAAAGCAUUAGGUAUUCACUCUUAGAUGCUCCGGUACAUGAU
Molecule: long non-coding RNA, 406 nt
Organism: Colius striatus (speckled mousebird)
Lineage: Eukaryota; Metazoa; Chordata; Aves; Coliiformes; Coliidae
Exons: 3
Source: RefSeq, a predicted model, not a curated record